ACUUUUGAUGGUCAAGUGUUUUGGAACUUGUACUCGAAUUGAAUAUUGUACGGUGAGAUAAGUUGAUGUGUGUAUUAAUGGUAUUAUCUAAUAUAAACAUAGGAUUGGACAUAUAGUUGUGUCAAUGUAUUGUGUAAUUUAACUACCUCUAGAUAAUAUUAUCGUUUGUGUAAUGAUUGUAAUUGAUGUUUUGUUGGAGGAUCCUUUAGUAUGCUUAUAAAAAGGAUUCAAGUGUGUUGUAACGAGCAGAGCUCUUCUAAGUCUAGUCCAUAAAUAAAUAAAAGAGUUGACUAUAAUGUAAUAUUGUGGGGUCUUCUACUGUGUCUAUAAAAGGAUCCAAGUGUGUUGUAAUAUGAGUAGAGAUUCAUGAAUUUAGUCUAUAAAUAAAUUAAACAAGUGUUUUAUAUAGUCCUUUUAUGAACAUGUAUGGUCUCAUUUCCUUCAUAAAGCAAUGUAUAGCCGUUGUGACAAAAUCUUAUUACUCAAGUUUACUCAUGAAUCCUUUACACAAAUGUUACAAAUGUAUAAUAACAAAAUUGAAAAGUCAUUUUCACACGUUACAAAUAUAUACUAACAAAAUUGAAAUAACAUUAUUACAAAUUAGAACAAUAUGUAAUAACAAAAAAUAAAUAAAUAAACUCGAGGCUUGUAAAGUUAAUAGUUUAUUUAAAACAAAUUAGAACAAUAUGUUUUAUAUAUUACUGGUGAAGAUGAAGAAGAGAUUCGAAUAACAAGAAAUAACUUAUUAGUUCGCUUCCAGAUGAAAAAGCUUGGUCAGCUUAAGCACUUCCUUGGUCUAGAAGUUAUCGAAUAGAAGAAGGGAUAUUUCUUUACCAACAAAAUUAUGCCAAAGACUUGCUGAAGAAGUUUGAAAUGAUGGAAUGAAAACUAAUCUCAACUCCAUUGGAAGUAAAUGCAAAAUUGUGCACACACGAAGGUAGAGAUUUACAAUAUAGAACAAUGUAUCAACAAUUGGUAGGUAGUUUAAUCUACCUUAUGCUGAAUCAACCGAAUAUUUCAUAUGUCGUAGGUGUCAUGAGUUGGUAAAUGCAAAAUCCAAAGAAGCUUCACUUGGAAGUAGUUAUGUGAAUACUAAGAUAUGUGAAGAGUACAAACAAUUAUGGUUCAUUGUGCAAGAAAGAUGAAAUUACAAGCUGACUAGCUAUUGUGACGCUGACUACGCCGGAGAUCAUGAUACAAAAAGAUUAACUACUAGGUAUGUUUUCAGAAUUAGGUCUGGAGUAGUUUUUUAGUGUAGUAAGAGACAACCAACUGUAUCACUAUCAACCACAGAGGUAGAGUAUAAAACAACAAUGAUGACAUCUCAAAAAAGCACUUGGUUGAUGUAGUUGAUCAAGGAUCUACACCAACUAGUAGAUUAUGUAUGCAAUACCACUGUAUUGCGAUAAUCAAUCGAUAAUCAACUUGGGAGAAAAUCUAGUUUUCCAUGCAAGAACUAAGCAUGUAGAGGUCCAUUAUCACUUCAUCAGGGAAAAUGUCUUACAAGAUAAAGUUGAGAUGCGGUACGUCAAGACAAACAAUUAAGUUACGGAUUUUUUUUUUUAUAAAAAGUCUUUGUACCAUGAAGUUUAAAAAGUUUCGUCAGCAGCUCAAUAUGGAUCGAAUGAUGAAACUUGGUUUUGAGGGGGAGUGUUAAAAGUGCAACACCAAUUUUAUGAUCCAAUUAAAUAACAUUUGUCCAAAUCCAAGUUCAUAACUCAAUCCAUAGAAGACUUAAGAAUUGUGUAGAGAACAUGGGACAUUUCUAAUCUAAAAAUAUUUAAUGAUGAUGAAAAUAUCUUAUUUUAGAAAUCUCUUGAACGGUGAUAUUUAUAAAAUGUGAUUGUUAAAUUUUUAUAAUUUAAUGUUUUGUGUGGUUUGUAUUAGUUUUAGGAUACUAUAAAUACCGCUAAACUCUUUGUUGUAGGCAUCAAGAGAGGAGUGAAGAAUUAGUAGGAAGAAAGAAGAGUGAGCCGUGAGUAUCGUAGUGUUUUUCUUAUAAAAUAUCAAUAAAAUCCUUUAAUUUAGUAAAAUUCUUCUAUUUCUUAAAUAUUUUCAGUCUUAAGCAGCUUCGUCCUUCUUUCUCAACAAAAGCAUUCCAUUUAGUAUAUGAAAAGAAAGUUGUGAGUUUGUGAAGAGAGAAUAAUUAGAAUAUCUUUUGCAAUUGUUAUUUUCCCAAUUUUAAGUAACAGAGUUGCUUUCUCCUAGUAUAAGAGAGAUUGUAAUUGUUCUAUCCUUGUAUUCAAAGAAAAUUGUUAUAAUCCUCAUUUGAAUAGUGAAUUCUUUCUACUUUUGUUGUGGAUUUUUAACCCGGUUUAUUUGGAAUUUUUUCCACUUAAAAUUUGUGUGUCCCAUAUAUCUUCAUUUGUUCUUAAUAUCACUUUGGUUUCGGUCUGAUACGGUCCUUAAUUUCCUAAUAGAAAACAACCGAAACCAUCCAAUAACGAGAGUGAUCUCUGAAAGCUCCAUUGCAGAACAUGGAUAACCGCUGCUUCGGCCAUCUGUAUUAACUUUUACCCAGCCAUGCACUAUCGGGCAAAUUUUAGCAAAAUAUUGAAAAUGAGAGGUAUAACCAACUUGUAUUAGAUGAAAGGAGGAUGGGGUGUUUUCAUAUCGUAGCUCUGUCACGGCAUCGAUGUGAAGAAGAUGAGUUGGUCAUGUCUAAUUAACAAAAAAAAAAAAAAUCCUUUCUGCUAAUCCCAAUUUCAAAGCUUUCUUGUGUCGGACUUUAAUUCUAACUUUGUAAUAUCACACUUUCAAUGGUUAUUUUACCUUUAUAUUCACUAUUGACUUAUAGGGGUGAAAUGAAUAAUUAAAACUCUAUUAUGGAUAUAAAUAACAAAAAAGAAAUUUAUGUGUCGCGGAACUGGUACUCAUAUGAAAAUAACAUUUGACAAUAUCGAACCAUUGGAGCACUAAAUAAAUUAUAGCAUUAUAUAAAAGGGGAUUUGAAUACAUGCUCAUGUUAUGCCCUACGGACUUUCUUUUGUAUUUGUUGGCAAAAAUUUGCAGAUCGUAGAUAUUUGCCCCUAAGGUAACAAAACUGCAAAAGCAUUUCGUGGGUAACAAGUAGUCGGGCUUUUAUCUAGAAUAUCUUUAUUCUUCCAUACCAAUAAAUCACUUAGAUUUUAUGGGCUACGGAUGGAAAUUGUUAAAUUCAUUAUUUAUAGAGUUUGUAUUUUAUGGCAAGUCUAGUUAAAUUAGAAUUUUAUUUAUUGUAUAUUUUGUAAUAGUGAUUAAUUUAUUAAUUCCCUAAUUUAGUGAGAUUUCAAUUUAUUAAGAAUAUUUAUUUCCUAAUUUAAUUAGAUGGCUAACUUAAAAAGUCAAUUAAUGAUGUGAUUCUAUAAUUGGCGCAUGAGCUCUAUUUUGAGUAUGAAGUCAGUUCAAACAUGAAGUUUAUUAAAUGAUUUAGAUAUUUCUUGGAAGACAAGCAAUGUAAGAAAAUUAGAUUUAUUCCUAUUCAGAUUCAUAGGAAUUAUAAAAGAAAAUAAACUCUUAUUUGGAAAGAAUCAAAAUCUUUUAAGAGUUAUUAUUUUUGUGAAAUCCUAGUGCCUAUAUAAAGAGAGGUAUUUCACAAUUGAAGGUGUGCAACACGGAGCAUAAAGCAGGGACGCAAAAUUCGGCAUUCUCCCUAAAGAAUCCUAAUUUGGCACAUAAUAUUGUGUUGAUUUAUUUACUUAUCUUCUUUUCAUAUUUGUGUAGAGUCUAUGUGAAUUUUGGAUCACUAGACAUUAAAAAAUUAAAUAAUUGUUAUUGAUCACUUUGCGAAGUGCGUUAAGUAUCGUGGAUCAAGAGGGGUAGUAAUUAUUUAAGAAAAGCAAAUUCAGUCUGUACAAUGAUAAACUGUAAAUGAGAGUUUUAAGUUUGAUAAAUCUAUGGUUGUAACAUCUCAACUUAGUGAAUUACUUUUCAUCUGAGCUUGACCUCGUGGAUGUAGAAUUAAUUAAUCUGAAUCACGUAAAAAUCUCCGUACCAUUUAAUUUCUGUAAUUUAUUGUAUUUUUGAAAAAUUAAUAUUUUGAUGCGGAUAAACAAUAACCGUAAACAUUAACUAUAAACAAUAAGCGUAAACAAUAAUGAUGAAUAGUAAUGGUAAACAAUAUUUCCGAAAGUUAAUUAAGUUGUUAAUUUUAAAUUUUUAAUUACCUACAUCUAAAUUGCCUACAUUUAGUGCAAUUUUGAAAGGUAUUAAAUUGGCAGCGGACUUGGGGUUUCUUCCGCUACUGAUAGAGUCCGAUUCAGUUAAUGUCAUUAGUCUCAUCUCAGGAAAAAUUAACAGCCAAUUAGAGAUUGAUUGGCUAAUAUCUGAUAUUAAAAGUUUUAUUUGUAAGAAAAGUGUUUGCUAUAAGACACAUUCCCAGAUCCGGUAAUUCAGCAGCUCACAAAGCUGCAAAAAUGGCUCUUGAUCAUGCUGAGUCGCGCACAUGGUUACAGGAUGCGCCUCCUGACAUUGUACCUCUCUUGUAAUGUUAUGGUGUAAUCAAUGAAAAUUUUAUUGUAAAAAAAAAAAUCCUUUCAGAAAUUAAUAUAUACUAUUUUAAUGUGGAAAAUCCCUUCAGAAUUAGUUCGAUAAAUACAAUAUUCAUCCAGUUACCGCAGGCUAAUAAUGCUCAUCCUGGAUAACUCAUGUCGCUUUUUACAUAUGCUGUAAUCUAAUUGGUGUGAUUAUCUUUGUAGCCCUACCUUCUCACUUGGCCAGAAUCGAGGUUAUAUAUGGUCAUGCAAUUAUACAUGAAAAAAGAAUAUCUUUCCAGUAGUUCAUUUUCCCUUUCACAUAGAGCGUACUGAGGAUAUAUAUAUCGGAAACCUGAGAAAACUAAUGAGAUAUUUGAAGGUUAAAGGGGAAGCCGGCUCCGUUAUUAAAAGCAAACUUCUUUAUUUAUUUAUAGACUAGAGUCAAGGAGCUUCACCCGUUACACACUUGAAUCCUUUUUCUAGGCACCAUAAAGGAUCCCAACAAUUAUACAUUACAAGUCAUUACCUUUAUUUAUAGACCAGACACAAGGCGCUCUGCCCAUACAACAUACUUGGAACAUUUUUAAAGGCACACUAAAAGACCAUCCACAACAAAACAUUGAUUCGAUCAUUACACUGGAGGUCGCCUUUUCAUCGGAAAUUGAGAUUUACCUUACCAAGAGGUAAUAUCAACGUUACACAAAACAUGACAUAUAACAAUGUCUAAUCUUAUAUCUAGAUUAGAUUACACAGUACACACCAGCUUAAUUAUCUUACAGUAGUAUUCAAUUGGAAUACAAAUGCCAAUACACUUUACCAUCAAAAGUAUGAUCAGAAUCCAGAACAUUUCCAUGAGGUACCUCUAUAAGAUUAAUCUGCAAAACAAGAGAACCUCCUUCCUGCACAUGACGAUCUUUAUACAGUUCAUCUAAUUGAACCAUAGUUCUAAGGCCAUGAAUAGGACGAUUUUUAUCAAUAGGCCUAUAACCAUUAGUAUAACCAGAUGCAACAACAUCAAAAGAUACUUCAGCAUCCAUAUUAUUGGCGGCUGCAGGAGGCAGAUCUCCUCUCCAAGCAUCCUCGUUAGCUCUGGGAACAAAUAGGACGGCCCAGGAAACAAUAGGAGCCCAACUUCGACCAAACAAACCAAAAUCCAUCCUAUUCAAGUCCUUCAAAACACCAGGAUCUGCAUAACGCAGAAAAAAGUAGUCUGAUUUAAAACCUAUCAAUUUUCGCUGAUCACACGCCAUAUCUUCCGUGAUUAAUGAAAAAUAAGCGCUCAGAAUCAGAUCACUUGCCUCAGAAAUUAUUUUCGUUGCUCUGUCACUCUUUUUUCUGCUGCCGUCCAAAGACAUUUUCACGUCUAUUUAUGCAAGGGAGGAAUUCGAACACAAACAAAUCACAAAUAAUUAUUAAUUAAUUAUAAUAGGACUCUUAAUUAAUGCAUUCCAGCAUCUCCUUCUGCAACGUGUCUGGCGACGUGGUUUUGUCUUCGUCUGUGCUCCGCCUUUCAUUUCUUGGAUAUCUUCAUCAUAGGUAUUAGAGCCAAGUUAAGGUUAGGUAGAUGAUACAAGUCCUCUUCAAAAGGAUUUUGCUAGUAUUAGAGCCUAGUAAUGUAAGAUAUAAUCUCUCGUAAAAUUGUGGGCCUAAGUGGAACCUAUAACUAAAUUUGUAUGAGACUGUACCUUACAUUACACGCUUCCUUUAACAAUUGACACAUGUUAAUUAAUGCAUUCCAGCAUCUCCUUCUGCAACGUGUCUGGCGACGUGGUUUUGUCUUCGUCUGUGCUCCGCCUUUCAUUUCUUGGAUAUCUUCAUCAUAGGUGUUAGAGCCAAGUUAAGGUUAGGUAGAUGAUACAAGUCCUCUUCAAAAUAGCUCUCUGUCACAAGUGGUUCCGGUACGUAGAUCCACGUCUUCUUUUGCAGCGUGGUUUGGCCUUUUCAGUUCUUCUCAUUCUUUGAUUUCUUCGAAUAGUUAUCUACAUCGUGUUUACAGGUUGGGUAAGACUAAGGAUUGGGUUCGCACAGUUCUAAUAUUUUGAUUGGACCAUCCUGCAUCUAUCUCUUAUUUAGUUUAGCAUGACUUAUUUAACAUCAUAAAUAUUUAUUUAAUUUUAUAAUUUUUUAAAUAUUAAAUAAAUUAUUUUUUUAUUAGUAAAAUUUUAAAUUUUGAGUUUUUGAAAAUAGAUUGAAAAAUAUUUUUAAACUAUUAAAAUAUUAUUUAUUUAUUUAAUUAUUUUAUUUCAUUUACUUUAUAACAUAAAUUUAAAAAAAUUACCUAUUAAAAAAAUUUAUAAUUUCUUAAUAAAAACUCUUAUUGAUAGUCAAAUACCUUAAAGUUUUAGUAAAAGUUUGCUUGUAAAAGAUUUAUUAACAAAAGUUAUGCCGAAAUAAGUUUUAUUUGAAAAAUUAUAUCAAGGCUUGAUUUGGUAUCAAAAGAAAAUUAUCAUACACUUAUAUUUUUAUAUUAUCAUUUAAAACUGAAGAGAAGAGUAAAGAAAGAUCAAACCAGAGUGAAGAAGGGUUAACAUAAAAUGAAAGAAAAGCCUCGGGCAUUAUACUAUGAUUUGGGAGAAUGAUGCGUUAUUUAGUUUUGGUGGGUGUAAAAGGAAAACGAAGCUUAAUAAUAUGAGCUUAAAACUCAAUUAAAAUGAGUUUAAUGAAGGGUGGUUUUAGCAUUUUAAAGUGCGAUCAUAGUUAAUUUUAAUUUUUGUAAUUUAUUGAAUAAACUAUUUGCAAUGAAUUAAGAAAAGUAAUCAAUAAUUAUAACAAUAAAAGUAAUUAUUAUUGAAACGACCCACCUCGAACUUCAAGAGCAAAUCUAUCUAAUUUCUUUUAACGUGAUUAGUAAAACGUAUUUGCUAAAAUUUUCCAACAUGCAAAUCUGCAAAACAAACACUUUCAAAAUAAUUCAAUACACAACAAAAUUCAUUGAUCAACCUUCUCAACCAUGAUAUUGAAUAUCACCUAAACACUUAUAAAGUAUCAAAAGAUUAUAUUAUAGCUAAUGUCAACAUAUAUUAAACAUUCAUAAGCAUCAAAUCAUAAUACAAUUAUACAAUCCAAAAUGAGAUGAUCUAAAUGCCCUAAUAAUAUCAUUUAUAUCUUUUAGCACCAUCACGUGGCCAAAAUUCAAAAAUACUACAGUCGUUGGGUCGAUUAAUGUAUCCACAACCUUCUGUGGGGGAAAAGUAUAGUAAAAUGGGAUGAAUAUAAAACUCAAUGAGUGAAUAAUAACUUUUGAAAAUAAUAUAUUUUAAAAUAUUUAUAUAUUUUCAAUAUACUAUUUUCAUCAAACUAUAAGUAAGAACAUAGAUGAAUUAUUCGAACUUUAAAUCAAACAACUGUCGUUUUAAUUUUAAAGUGUGAUCGUAGUAAAUUUUUAUUUUGUUAAUUUAUUGAAUAAACUAUGUACAAUCAAUUAAGAAAAAUAAUCAAUAACUAUAACAAUGAAAGUAUUGAUUACUGCAACGACCCACCUCAAACUUUGAGGGCAAGUCUAUCUAAUUUCUUCUAACGUGAUUAGUAAAACUUAUUAAUGAGGAUUUUGCUAAAAGUUCAUCGACAGAGUCUCCCCCUAUAUUUAUAAAAUUUCUAACAUGCAAAUCUAAACACUCCCAAAAUAAUUCAAUACACAACUUGAAAUACUAACUAGGCAACCCAAGAGGGGGGGUGAAUUGAGAUUUUAUAAAUUAAGUUAAGCAAACACACAACAAUUCAAUCUAAUGCCUCAAUAAAUUCGAAAACAAUAAAUUCAAUGAAAGCACAAUAAUAAAUGAGCAAGGGAAGAGAAAGCAAACUCAAUGAUUUUUACGUGGUUCGGCAAUCCCCGCCUACGUCCACGCCUCUUAGCAUUUUCAUUUUUGAGCUCUACCAUUUUCUUUUUAAGACAUGCAUUCUUUUUACCAAUUUUCAUACACUCAUCAUGCAAUUCUUUAAAAGUAUCAUGUAAUUCAUCAUAAGUAGGAAGAUCAUUUACCUAAUCAAGUUCAUCAUUCGAUUCAUCUCCAAUUGCCAUAAGAGCUAGAUUUGUCAUUUCUUGAUGCUCUUCAUCAUCACUUGUUUCCUCCUCGCUAUCAUCCCAUGUGGCUACCAUCGCUUUCUUCUUGAGCUUGUUGAGAAGAGGGCAUUCCGAUCUUAUAUGGCCAGGUUUCUUGCACUCAUAACAUUUGAUUACUUCAUUCUUCUCCUUUUGGUUCUUGAGGUCUCUAAAUUUUCUUCGCUCACUGGAUUUCUUAAAAAAAUUUCUAAACUUCCUAGCCAGCAUAUCCAUCUCCUCCUCAUCCAGCUCGCUUUCCUCAUCACUCUCAUAUUUCGAGGCUUUGAGAGCAAUACUUUUCUUCUUCUCCUCAUUGCCUUUUUCGGCUGCCAAGUCUUCCUCAUAAGAAAUAAGAGAACCAACUAAAUCAUCAAUAGGUAAGAUAUUUAAAUCUUUGGCUUCCUCAAUGGCAGUCCUUUUUUGUCUCCAUUCCUUACAUAGCGACCUAAUAAUUUUCUUAACUUUCUCGCUAUUUGAAAAAGUCUUUCCUAUGGCUCCUAGAGUGUUCACUAUGUCCGUAAAUCUAGUAUACAUAUAAUACACACUCUCAUUUUGUUCCAUUUGGAACAAUUCAUAUUGUCGAGUGUACCUACUAAUUUUAGACUCUUUCACUUGAUUCGUGCCUUCAUAAACAACUUCAAGUUUGUGCCAAAUUUCAUUAGCACUCUCACAACUAGAUACUCUAUGAAAUUCUUUCUUAUCUAGUGCACAAAACAAGGCAUUCAUAGCUUUGGAAUUUAGAGUAGCUUUUCUCUUUUCUAAUUCAUUCCAUUCCCGUGAAGGUUUUGGAAUAUCUUCCCCGACUUCAUUUUUAGUCAAAGGCAUAAAAAGACCAUCACAAACAACUUCCCAAAUUUCAUAAUCAAGUGCUUGUAAAUAAAUUCUCAUCAUAGUUUUCCAAUACGGGUAGUCAUUUCCGUCAAAGAACGGUGGUUUAAUUGUGGACUGUCAUUCUCUAAAGGUUGAGUCAUUAUGGGUUGCCAUAGAUCUUUAACUCUAGACGGUUAAGUCUAAACAAGAGCACCUCGCUCUGAUACCAAAUGAAAUACUAACUAGGCAACCCAAGAGGGGGGUGAAUUGGGAUUUUAUAAAUUAAGCUAAAAAAACACACAACAAUCCAAUCUAAUGCCUUAAUAAAUUCGAAAACAAUAAAUUCAAUGAAAGCACAAUAAUAAAUGAGUAAGGGAAGAGAAAGCAAACUCAAUGAUUUUUACGUGGUUCGGCAAUCCCCGCCUACGUCCACGCCUCCAAGCACACCGGGUUUGAGGAUUUCACUAUUCGAGCCUUUCCAAUGCUUCAAUCGUUUACAAUUGACUUCAAGGUGUCAAUGAACCUUUAAAACAAGAGAUUAUCUCUCCAAUCUCUUCACCCCAAGUGUUUCUCACACUUGUACACUCACAAUUUGAUGAGAAAUAAAAAUUACAACAAUGAAACUCUCUUUAAGAGUGGAUAUACAAAUUGAAGAACAAAGAUGAUUUAAUAAAUGAUGAUUUACGAAAUUGAAGCUCAAUAUAUGUUGUGUGCACUUGUUUUUGCUUGCCAAGAUUACCAAAAAUGAAUUGGUUUUGAGUUUAUAUAGUUUGAGCUCAAAAACUAGUCGUUAUGCACUUUUUGGUCAUAACCGGCUUAUUGUUUAUGGAAUCCGGUUAGCCGCUUGUAUGUUACCGUUACAGCCAAAAUUUAAAUUUUUGAACAUCCAGUAUGCCGCUUAUAAAAUCCGGAUAGCCGUUUAUGCUCUAGAAGCUUACUGCCCAACAACCAUAUUACCGUUUGUCAGGAUCCGGUUAGCCGCUUUCAAUUCGGAUAGAUUCUGCCCAACAUCCGGCUUAUCGGUUUUUCACAUCCGGUUAGCCGCUUGCUACAGUGACUGCUACAGUGAACUAUUUUAUAAAAUUAUAGUUUAACCCCAAAACUUUCCAUAACUGUACUAGGGCCCAACACGUUAUAAAUUUGGCAAAUAGGUCCAAUUUCAGAAUCUCUAAAUAAUAUUUACUAUUCUCAAAACUUUUUAAAAUUAUGAUAUGGCCCAAAAUAAUAUGAAACUGUUCAAAUAAGUCCUUUUCUAAAAUUUCAAGUAAUACUUGUUGAUUUCAAAGUUUUUAAAAUUCUUUCAAUUAAACCAUAAACUUGAAAAGCAACCAAUUUCAUAAAAUCAUUUUUCUAUUAAAUAUGAAACCUUUAUAAUGAGAAAAUAAUGAUUUAUUUAAAAAGUAUAAAAAAUAAUUUGAACUUAAAAGAUUAAUCAUUCUUAAUCUUGUUUGUUAUCAUCAAAAUCAACAUUAUGGAAACAUAUAUGUUAACAAUCUCCUCAUUUUUUAUGAUGACAAACAUUUCAUGUAUUUAAAGAAUGAUUCCGCAAAUUGCUCCCCUAAAUAUAAUCUUCUCUUACAAUUUGCCAAUUAGCUAAAUUAACAGAUUUAAAUAUAUGGAUUUUUCUCCCCCUUUAUCAUUAAAAAGAAAACUUAAUUGGCAAAGAAAAAGAGUAGUAAAUUUUUAUAAAUUUAAAAAUAUGUAUUAUUCUCCCCCUUCAUCAUCAAAAAGAAAACUUAAAGGAAAAGAAUAAGAGUAGCAAAUUUAUUACUCAUGUUUGUCCAAGUAGAAAUUUCAACACAUUCUCCCCCUAACAACAAGCAUUACCUUAAAUAUAAGUUUAGUAAUAUUACUCCCAAAUUAUUAUAAAUCAUGAUACAAGCCAACUCCAUACACAAAUCAUCACACCAAAAUAUCAUGAACCAUUAUUCCAUUAAUUACCAUAUAAAACAACUAUGUAAUUAAUCAUCAUUAUCUCAAAAUCAUUAUCAUAAUCAAAUAUCAAUCAUUAAAAGAAUACUCAAAGUGUAUAUUAUUCUCCUCAUUUUAACAACAUCGAAAUGAUAUAUUACUUUGUCUCCCCCUUUGGACAAUAAAAAAGUUCAAAAUGCAUAUUAUUCAAAAUCAUAUUAUAUGAUCCCCCUAAAUAUAUGACCAAUUUAAAAUUUUAACCAAAAUAAUUUUAUCCCAAAACAUAUCAUAUUUGUCUCCCCCUAUCAAUCAUCAAAACCUCAAAUCAAGCACAUUAGUUCAAAAUUAUCCAAAACAUAAGUAAAGAACAUAACAUAUAACUAUAUCAAAUCCAUAUAAUUCAAAACAGACACAUAAUCCAAAAUCAUAGCAAACAUCCAUAUAAUCCAAAUGCAAAAUAAAAGAAAAAUAAAAUAGUAAAUGUUGGUGUGUUCAAAUACAAGUAUAAAGGAUUUGAAGUGAAAAAUGAUGAGAUUGAUGGAUUUUAGAGAGAUCUUGCGUGAGAGAGGAAGCGAUUUUUAGUGAGAGAGUAACCGAUUGACUGAAUGAAGGAGAAGAGGAUGAACAAAAUUUGAAUGCCCGAAUUUGGCUUACCGGAUUUCACUAACCGGUUAGCCAGUUGGGGUCCAGUGAGUGUACAACCUGAAUUCGGGUUUCCGGUUUACAUAACCGGUAAUUCGGUUAACUCCUGUGAUGAAUGGUCACGAAUCCGGUUAUCCGGAUAUUCCUAACAUGUUAAUCGGUUGGAGGCAGCAAGUAAGCAACGCGAAUCCGGUUUGCCGGAUCUCAUAACCAGCUAUCCGAUUGUGUCCAACAAGCAUCAAACUAAAUCCGAUUUUCCGGAUUUCAUAACCGGUUGACCGAUUCUUUCCAGAAACCAAAUUCUCUUCAAACGAGUUAUUGGUUUUCCAAUCCGGUUAUCCGAAAUAUGACUUAGAGAAUAAUCAAUAAAAAGGAUGGUUUUCCGGUUGAUUAAAAGAGGUUUAUCGGUUAAAAUAUAGAGAAUAUUUUUGAAGUUUAGUAAACUCUUAGACUUGUAUUACACACACCAAUUUAUUUUUAGCUUAAAAAUUGAUCAAUUUUUGAAUCAUUUUGAGAUUCAAAAUUUUUCAAUAAGUCAUUUAAUGCAUGAGACAUAAAUGUAUACAAGACCAAACAUAUGAAAUCGUAUCAAACAAUGAUGUCAAUUUUAUAAAUGAAUGAUGAUAUAAACACAAUUAAUGGCAUAUGAAUUCACACAUAUAUAAGAGAUGGACAAUGAUGAUAGACAAUUAAGAAGAUGAAAUCAAAGACCAUACAAUCAUCAAAAUCAAACAAAGACAUCAUGAUAAAUCACUCAAUGUUAUACACAAUGAUAAUUCCAUCAUGUAAACAUACAAGCAUACUUUCGCAAAUUCAUUUAACAUGAUUCAUUCAACAAAAUUAAUAUGGCAAGAAUUGUUACCAAAACAAUUAAAUCAUCUUGCCUCAUCUUUUUCUCCUAGAUCAUACUCAAGUGAUUAUCCUCACAAGCUUUCAUCAAGGAACUUCUCCACCAUUCCUUGAUUGUGGUACCUACAAAGAAAACAUUCACGUUGUGCCCUUUGGUACCCAAAUACUCUUGGGUCCUUGAGUGUUAGCAAUGGUUCCUUUUGGAACCCAAACACAUUUUACUCCAUAAUAUACUUUUCUUUUAAUAGGACAACCAAGCUUCAUGUGACCGUUUUGAUUACAAUAAUGACAUACAACUUGAUUGUUAAUAGAUGUACUCUUCACAAAGUAGUUCUUAUAAUACUUUUGUUUCAAAUUUGGCUUAUAACCAAGUUCUCCUUUAUCAAACACACAUUUUUGUGAAUUAAUCAAGUUAUCCAACAUCUUUUGUCCAUUUGUAAAUUUUAAAACAAUCUCAUUUAACUCAUUGCUCUUCUUCUUAAGCAUUUCAUUUUCCUUUUUCAAGUCAUCUAUGUGAUAUUCUAUAUGCUCAUGUGAAGUGCUAGGUUUCCCAUUUGAUAAUGCAACUCUAUCAUGCAAUGUUUUAUUCUCUAAUUCUAGGCAUGUAAUCUUUGCACAUAGAGAUUCAUUUUCAUUUUUGAGCUCUACCAUUUUCUUUUUAAGACAUGCAUUCUUUUUACCAAUUUUCAUCCACUCAUCAUGCAAUUCUUUAAAAGCAUCAUGUAAUUCAUCAUAAGUAGGAAAAUCAUUUACCUCAUCAAGUUCAUCAUCCGAUUCAUCUCCAAUUGCCAUAAGAGCUAGAUUUGUCAUUUCUUGAUGCUCUUCAUCAUCACUUGUUUCCUCCUCGCUAUCAUCCCAUGUGGCUACCAUCGCUUUCUUCUUGAGCUUGUUGAGAAGAGGGCAUUCCGAUCUUAUAUGGCCAGGUUUCUUGCACUCAUAACAUUUGAUUACUUCAUUCUUCUCCUUUUGGUUCUUGAGGUCUCUAAAUUUUCUUCGCUCACUAGAUUUCUUAAAAAAAUUUCUAAACUUCCUAUCCAGCAUAUCCAUCUCCUCCUCAUCCAGCUCGCUUUCCUCAUCACUCUCAUAUUUCGAGGCUUUGAGAGCAAUACUUUUCUUCUUCUCCUCAUUGCCUUUUUCGGCUGCCAAGUCUUCCUCAUAAGAAAUAAGAGAACCAACUAAAUCAUCAAUAGGUAAGAUAUUUAAAUCUUUGGCUUCCUCAAUGGCAGUCCUUUUUUGUCUCCAUUCCUUACAUAGCGACCUAAUAAUUUUCUUAACUUUCUCGCUAUUUGAAAAAGUCUUUCCUAUGGCUCCUAGAGUGUUCACUAUGUCCGUAAAUCUAGUAUACAUAUAAUACACACUCUCAUUUUGUUCCAUUUGGAACAAUUCAUAUUGUCGAGUGUACCUACUAAUUUUAGACUCUUUCACUUGAUUCGUGCCUUCAUAAACAACUUCAAGUUUGUGCCAAAUUUCAUUAGCACUCUCACAACUAGAUACUCUAUGAAAUUCUUUCUUAUCUAGUGCACAAAACAAGGCAUUCAUAGCUUUGGAAUUUAGAGUAGCUUUUCUCUUUUCUAAUUCAUUCCAUUCCCGUGAAGGUUUUGGAAUAUCUUCCCCGACUUCAUUUUUAGUCAAAGGCAUAAAAAGACCAUCACAAACAACUUCCCAAAUUUCAUAAUCAAGUGCUUGUAAAUAAAUUCUCAUCAUAGUUUUCCAAUACGGGUAGUCAUUUCCGUCAAAGAACGGUGGUUUAAUUGUGGACUGUCAUUCUCUAAAGGUUGAGUCAUUAUGGGUUGCCAUAGAUCUUUAACUCUAGACGGUUAAGUCUAAACAAGAGCACCUCGCUCUGAUACCAAAUGAAAUACUAACUAGGCAACCCAAGAGGGGGGUGAAUUGGGAUUUUAUAAAUUAAGCUAAAAAAACACACAACAAUCCAAUCUAAUGCCUUAAUAAAUUCGAAAACAAUAAAUUCAAUGAAAGCACAAUAAUAAAUGAGUAAGGGAAGAGAAAGCAAACUCAAUGAUUUUUACGUGGUUCGGCAAUCCCCGCCUACGUCCACGCCUCCAAGCACACCGGGUUUGAGGAUUUCACUAUUCGAGCCUUUCCAAUGCUUCAAUCGUUUACAAUUGACUUCAAGGUGUCAAUGAACCUUUAAAACAAGAGAUUAUCUCUCCAAUUUCUUCACCCCAAGUGUUUCUCACACUUGUACACUCACAAUUUGAUGAGAAAUAAAAAUUACAACAAUGAAACUCUCUUUAAGAGUGGAUAUACAAAUUGAAGAACAAAGAUGAUUUAAUAAAUGAUGAUUUACGAAAUUGAAGCUCAAUAUAUGUUGUGUGCACUUGUUUUUGCUUGCCAAGAUUACCAAAAAUGAAUUGGUUUUGAGUUUAUAUAGUUUGAGCUCAAAAACUAGUCGUUAUGCACUUUUUGGUCAUAACCGGCUUACUGUUUAUGAAAUCCGGUUAGCCGCUUGUAUGUUACUGUUACAACCAAAAUUUGAAUUUUUGAACAUCCGGUAUGCCGCUUAUGAAAUCCGGAUAGCCGUUUAUGCUCCAGAAGCUUACUGCCCAACAAUCGGAUUACCGUUUGUCAGGAUCCGGUUAGCCGCUUUCAAUUUGGAUAGAUUCUGCCCAACAUCCGGCUUACCGGUUUUUCACAUCCGGUUCGCCACUUGCUACAGUGACUGCUACAGUGAACUAUUUUAUAAAAUUAUAGUUUAGCCCCAAAACUUUUCAUAACUAUACUAGGGCCCAAAACGUUAUACAUUUGACAAAUAAGUCCAAUUUCAGAAUCUCUAAAUAAUACUUACUAAUCCCAAAACUUUUUUAAAAUUAUGAUAUGGCCCAAAAUGAUAUGAAACUUUUCAAAUAAGUCCUUUUCCAAAAUUUCAAGCAAUACUUGUUGAUUUCAAAGUUUUCAAAAUUCUUUCAAUUAAACCAUAAACUUGAAAAGCAACCAAUUUCAUAAAAUCAUUUUUCCACUAAAUAUGAAACCUUUAUAAUGAGAAAAUAAUAUUUAUUUAAAAAGUAUAAAAAAAUCAUUUGAGCUUAAAAGAUUAAUCAUUCUUAAUCUUGUUUGUUAUCAUCAAAAUCAACAUUAUGGAAACAUAUAUGUUAACACAACUAACUUCAUUGAUCAACCUCCUCAACCAUAAUACUGAAUAUCACCUAAACACUUCUAAAUUAUCAAAAGAUUAUAUUAGAGCUAAUGUCAACAUACAUUAAACAUUCAUAAUCAUCAAAUCAUAAUACAAUUAUACAAUCCAAAAUGAGAUGAUCUAAAUGCCCUAAUAAUAUCAUUUAUAUCUCCUAGCACCAUCACGUGGCCAAAAUUAAAAAAAAAAAAUACUACAAUCACUGGGUCGAUUGGUGUACCACAACCUUCUUCAGGGGGAAAGUAUAAUAAAAUGAAAUGAGUAUAAAACUCAAUGAGUGGAUAAUAGUUUUUGAAAAUAACAUAUUUUAAAAUAAUUAUUUCUUUUCAAUACACCAUUUUCAUCAAACUAUAAGUAAGAACAUAGAUGAAUUAUUCGGACUUUAAAUCAAACAACUGUCGUUAAAAGAAUACAUGAUAUUAUACAUAAUAUACAAGGAAAUCAUAUCAAAAUAUAAUAUAAAAUACUUGAUUAUGAAAUUGUCACUAAAUAGUACCUAAGUAAAUAAUCUUGUCAUUCUCGCACCUCUUAUCGAUGGUGAAAUGACGUACUAUCUGAGUACUAUCAUGUCCGGAGCUAGAACGAGUAGACCAAUGGCAUGCUAUCUCAUAUAUCUCAUCAUAUCUCCUUAUAUUUCAUGUAAAAAACAAUCCCUACAGGACAAAAACACCCAAGCACACAACCCAAAAUCUUUGUGUAUAUUCAGACGGGACCCAAAGAUCUCUAGCUCAAUUGUAAUCUCUACAACUGAAUCUAUAUCUCUGUAUCUGAAAAUGUAUCUAUAGGGGAGGAGUAUUGUCAAAUGAUUUUGAAAACAAACUCUUAUACACUUGUAGAUAAACAUAUAAUCAUACUUUAAACUUCAUUUCCUUUUUCAUUAACAUACUGUAAAUCUAUUUUUCUUUUCUUUAAAAUACUCUUAUGCGUUUACUCAACAUAGAGAAGCAAAAGUAAUCAUCAAAUACGCUUUAACAAUAUAUUAAUACAUAAAUAAAACUCAUUUAUAAAACCAUUAAAUCAAAACAUUAAACUCUUGUUUCAUAUGCAUGCGUUACUUUACUUAAUUUAAAAAUCAUAAUAAAUUAUAAAGAUGGGUUUAGUAUAUUCCAUUUGCAAUGAUGAUGCUCAAGCUCAACUAUUAUCGACAUCCGCAGAUUGACUCACGUUUAUGGCUCCUCUAAAUUGUGGAACGACAUAAUUACUUUUUUGAAUAUAUGAAAUACAACUAGCUUUAAGCAAGAUAGCUCUCAAUGAAUAUUUAUCCCACAAUGUACAACUCCCGAAACCAUACUUGUAAGAUAAAAAUGACCAUAAUAUACUCAAAGCCAUAAUUUACACCUUAUACCUAAAAUUCCAUACUCCUUAAAUUUUUCAUAUGUUAUAAUACUAAUAAAUCUUCCACAUUAUCAAAAAUCUCAUAAUUAACCAUAACCUACCUAAACAUGAUGCAUAACUAUAAGCUAUUUACAUACCGAAAUGAGGGAACGAUGAGGGCUACGCGUUUCUAGGUGUACAAUGCCUCAUUGGUGCCCUUGUGCAUCUAUAAUAAUCCACUAGUUACAAAACUUAGCUUCGGACAAUCUUUACCCAUUUGUUAGAAACCUUAACUAUAAAUAAAGUAUACAAAUCUUUAAAUUAACUUCAUUCCCAUGAGAUCCAACUUCGAAUAAAGAUAACAUGAUAGAAAUCUUACUUCCUUUGGUGAGAAAAACCAACUUGGAAGCUUGAAUCACUUCCUUCUCACUUAAAUCCCCUCUCUACACUUACAUUUAAAUUCCUCUUUAAUGGAUGUUUUCAAAAGAAUUUAGGGACGGAAACACUCUAGAAUAACUCUCCAUUCCAAGCUUUCCAAGAUCCAAACUCAAACUUUGAAAAAUUUCCCCAUUUUUCUCCUCUUUCCCAUUGCUCCUCUUCUCCUUUUCUUUUUUGCCUUUUUUUUUUCAAAUCAAUACAUAUAAAAUCCAAUGGAGACUAACGGGCUUUCAAGUAAGGGUGGAUGUUCAAAUUGGUAUUUGUUUUAUUCUUUAUUAAUCUGGCCUGGAUUUGAGAUUUUGGAACUAUAAGUGGCUGGUUACUGGGAAAUUUUUGAAAAUGAAAUUGUUGUAACCUAAAUUGGACCCAAACUGAAAUUGAGACCUAAAUUUUCAAACCGAACCAAUCCAAAGUUUGAUCCCAAAUAGAACCGAGUCGAACUAAAUUCGGUUCGGUUCUGUUUGGGUUCAUGUUUUGAACCUAAUUGGGUUGAAUACUCUAACCAGAUCAGGUUGUAACCUAACUGGAACUCGAACAACCCGAAUCGAAACCCGAUAUGCCCACCCCUAUUUUAAAGCCUACAGACCAAUGGAAGAAAUGGAAAGAAAAAAUAUGUUACAGUUAUUAACUUGAUUCUUGGGCAUUAUAAUCUCAAUAUUUAACAUGAUUUUGUUUCUCAUAUUAGUUUCUAUCUUCUGCGUUGAGACCUAGAGUCUUAUUUAUGUUGGCAUCUUGUAAGGGUUGGCAUUCUUAUUGAAUUGUAAUUCAUAAAUUGAAGGCUAUGUUAAUUGGGAGAUUUCUUAAUUUAGUUAUUUUCUUAAAAUUAGGAUUUAAGUCUUUUCAUUUUAAGGAUUUACUUAGAACACAAAGAGUCUAAUUUUGGAAGCAAAUCAAAAUUAAAAAAAAAAAAAAAAGGCUCUCUAUAACUUGUUAUAGAAGUUAUACAUUGAAGAUAGCUCAUCACAAGCAGAAAAAUAGAAUUUUAAGGUCGAUUGCUAUAAAUAGUAUUAGAUGAACAAUAUUAGUUAAUAGUGUCUAUUGAAACUAUUCAUUGAACUUUAAUCUUUAUAGGGUAAACGCUUAUUUAGUCCCUAUAUUUUCACUCAAAUAUAUGUUUAGUCUCACAUUAUAAAAUAUAUCUCAAAAUACUCAUAUAGUUAAAUAUGUUACACUCUUAACCUUUUUUAGUUUUAUGAUAACACCCUUCAAACAACAUUCUUGACAUGAAUUAAGGUAUCUAUAAAAAAAAGUUAAUUAGCAUCUUAACCAAUAAUUAAUUAUUAGCAAAUUAAUUAACAAAUACCACUGUGAAAGAACUAAUAUUUUUGUACUAUUGCAAGAAUCUUACUAAUAAUUAUUUAUAAAUAAAUUAAUAUUAGCCAACUUAAAACAAUGUUUAUUAAUAUCUUUACAACAAUUUUAAUAAUAAUUUUUUUAUAAAAAUUAAUUUACUAAAUUAAUUCUAAAAGUAAAAUAAUAAUAUAAAAGUUUGGAUAAAUUUUUAUGUUACUUUAAAGAUAAAUUUUGGUAAAUUAACAAUUUUUAUUGAUAUCCCAAGAAUAUUGUUGCAAGAGUGUUAUCAUAAAAAGAAAAAAAUUAAGGGUAACAAAUUAAGGGUAGGAAUGAAACAUAUUUGACCUCAUGGGUGUCUUGAGAUGUGUCUCUCUGUGUGUAACACUUAAAUCAAAAUAUAGGGAUUAAAUAAGUAUUUACCUAUUUUAUAUUCAUCCCACUCUUAGACAUACUUUUGGUGUGUUUCGGAUUGAGGUUGAGCAGCUGUAGCUUUUAAGCUACAACACUAAAGUGUUUGGUAAACACUAGCUGAUGUACCUUGAAAGUUAUGUUAAUAUGAUUUUUCACUUGUAUAAUAAAAAAUCUAUUAUAUCUUUAAUGAUUUUUUCAAAAUUAUUAUUUAAAAUUUAUAUUUACUAUAUAUUAUUGAUUUUUGUUUUAUAGUUACAGUUUUGUUUCCAUAGCAGUUGUAGCUUAAAAGUUAUAGCACCUCAAUCUCAAACAGGACCUUUGUUAAUUGGUCUCUCUUCGUUAAUUGGUCUCUUCCAAAAAAGAUGUUGUUUGGAGCAGUUAAGGAAUUUCAUAUCAAGGUUAUGAACAAGAAGACAAAUGGUUCUCGCAAAUUACAUAUGCCUUAGUUGACUGAGAUGGCGGCAAAAGUAAAUUUUCCUACAUAUUAAAAUACUAAAUGUGAUAUAAGAACCAACUAUAAGCAAGUUAAAUUGAUGAUUUGGUAUAAUUACAAUAAUUAUUAUUUUUAAUUGAUCUGUGGGUUGAAAUGACUAUAUAAUCAUUCUUAAGUGCGAGCAUCCAUUUUUUUUUGGGAAAAUGACAAACACACCCCCAACGUUUAGGCAAAGGGAUAAAAAACCUCCUAACGUUUUAAAAAAGACAUUUACACCCCAACUUAUUAUAAUUUUACCAUUAUACCCUUCUAGCAUAUAAAAAAAAUUAUUAGAUUAUCUAAUUUGUCUAUAUAUUGUUAAUAAAAUUAUAAAUAGAAAAAUUGGAUAUUAUUAAAAAAAUUAUAAAUAUACCCUCAUUGCCCAAAUCUUCUAUUUAAAUUUUUAUCAAUAACCAAUUUUCAAAAAAGACAUCUAUACACCUAAAAAAUUAUAAAUAAAUUAUAAUUUUAAAAAUAAAAUUGGUUAUUAAUAACCAAUUUUAUUUAAAAUUUAAACUUUUAUAUUUAACAAUUCUCCACAUGUCAAUCAUUUAAACCUGUACAUUUAUAACCAAUUUUCUAUGUUAUUUAUUAUGGUAUUAAUAACCAAUUUUAUUUUUAAAAUUAUAAUUUAUUUACAAUUUUUUUUAAGUGUGUAGAUGUCUUUUUUGAAAAUUGAUUAUUGAUAAAAAUUUAAAUAGAGGAAUGAUGCAAUGAGGGUAUAUUUAUAAUUUUAUUAACAAUAUAUAGACAAAUUGGAUAAUCUAAUAAUUUUUUUUAUAUGUUAGAAGGGUAUAAUGGUAAAAUUAUAAUAAAUUGGGGGUGUAAAUAUCUUUUUCAAAACGUUAGGGGGGCUUUUGUCCCUUUGCCUAAACGUUGGGAGUGUGUUUGUCCUUUUUCCUUUUUUUUUUUUAAUACGGAUACACUCUUAAACUGUAUAAUUAAAAAAGAUACGUUUUGAAAUAAAUUACAAUAUUGUACUGUUUAAAAGAAUUAAAAACUAACUCUCUUUAAUUUCACAACUUAAAAACGUAGCCAAAAGGAAAUUUUAGGGUGGCGGCAUUGAAAAAAAACACAUAUAUUGCUUAUCAAAUCUAAGAUUAAAAUUCGGAAUUAAAAUUUGAGACGGAUAUAAAAUAUCGUAUAAGUAAUUUAGGAUGCCAUAAAUUCAUACUGGUGUCUAGUUCUAAACUUUAUCUCCAGAUUUCAAACAUUCAUCGCUUUGUGGCCCCUAUUUUCUUUGUUUUUCUAACUUUCUUCCGGUGGCGGAGCCCACCAUUGGAAGAAGUUAAUUUUUUUUUUGACAUUUUUUUCAUUGUCUAGCCCACCACCUUGUUUGACUCUUCUCUGGAAAAAGUUACUUUUUUGGGUUUUUCAAUAUGCUAUAAUUUUUUUACAGCAUCAAUAAUAUUUUUAAUUGUGUAUCAUUAAAUUUAAUUAAUGAUAUAUUUAAUCAAUGGUAUAUAAUAUUUGUAGUAAAAAAAAAUAAUAAACGGUUAUUAAAUGUGUAAGGGGUGGAGAAUUUUAUAAAAUAACUAUGACCAUCCUUAGAGUUUGAAAUAAUUUCACUUAAAUAGCAUAUUUUAUUUAAAAUUAUUUUUCAAUCCUCCUUUAAAUUUGAAUUGUGAUAAUCUUUUUUAAAUAAAUCUUCCAAAAUCUAUUACCAUGAAGUAUAAAAUAUAAUGGUAGGUUAUUUAACACAAAUCAAAUAAAUAAGUUGCAAUUAUAAAAUUUAUAUAUGAUAUAAUAGUAAUAAAUAACACAACUAAGUACAUAUACUUAAGUAAAUGCAUAGUUACAUCAAUAAACUCAUUGUUGAGAUUGCUUGUAACAUAAAAAUUACUUGAUCACACAUGUUUUAAUAAAAUUUAAUAUCGUAUAUUAAAAUACUUAUUAUUUUAUAUAAUAUUAAGGGUCAUUGUAUAAUUAAUCAUGAAGUGUGUAUUAUUUUUAACACCCAUUUAACAUGCUUAUUCUCUGAACUUUAUAUUUAUCUUACAAUUAAUAUCCUUACAUGGUAGGAAUUUUAAGUUUUAUAAGCCUAUAUAUUUUCAUUUUAUUUUCAAAUAUCACUUUGUUAAUUUCAUAAAAGUUAAAUCUAAUAUAUAUUCCUAAUGAGCUUUAGUUUAUGAAUCGUGAAAGAUUAUUUUAUUGAUAUCAUUUGAUUGUAAUUAUAAAAUUUUAUGUUAUUAAGAGUCAUUACUUUUGUUAUGAUAAUUAAUUGUGACUAUAAAUAAAAUAUUGUCUCCAAUAAUAUUUACGCAGGAAAAAAAGUGAACGAAAAUCAUUUGUAUUUUUAGAUUUUUAUUGACAUGGUAGGAAAUUAUCUCAGCCUUAAAACAUUUAACUUUCACAAGCUUGUUUUCAUUUUAUUUUCAAAUGUCACUUUGUUAAUUUCAUAAAAAUUAAAUCUAACACAUAUUCCUAAUUAACUUUAGUUUAUGAAUUAUAAAAAAUUAUUUUAUUGUUAUUCUUUGAUAGUAAUUAUAAAAUUUUUAUGCUACGAAGAGUCAUUACUUUUAUUAUGAUAAUUAAUAGUGACAAUAAAUAAAAUAUUACAUCAAAUAAUAUUUAAUGGACAAAAUGAGGAAAAAAAAUCAUUGUAUAUUUUUAUAUUUCCAUUAUAAAGAUAUGGUUUGGGAUACUUUAACUUAAACUUUUGGCACACUAGUUGAGCAACUAAUAUCUCAUAAUCUAAUGGUUGAUAUUGAAAGUCAAAGCAACAUUUCAUAAUAUUAUAUCUUCCACCAUUGAAUUGCAUGAAAUAAAUAGUUUAAUUUUUUGAUAAAAAUUAAAAUCAAAAUAUUUCUCACUCUAUAGUUAUAUAGACAUAUAUAUUUUUCAAUAAUAAUUGGUGAAUAAAAUAUUUCUCAUUUGUUGUGACUCAUAUAGUAUUAUUAAUAAAACACAUAUAAAAUUGUUUAUUGCAAUGCUUUCUAUUAUCAUUAUUAUUUAGGUAUUAAUGGUUUGUAAUUAAAUUCAUACAAUACAAAUUAUUACAAGACUUUGUGUUAAAUAACCUACUUGAUAUUAUAUUUUAUACUUAAAGGUAACUGAUUUUGGAAGAUUUAUUUAAAAGAGAUUAUCAUAUUACAAAUUUAAAGGAGGGCUGAAAAGUAAUUUUAAAUAAAAUAUACUAUUUAAGUGAAAUUAUAUCAAACUCUAAGGGUAGUCACAAUUAUUUUACAAAAAUUAUCCACCUACUUGAACGGUUACCAUUAUUUUUUAGUACAAAUAUUAUAUACCAUUGAUUAGAUCUAAUGGUUCACAAUUAAUAAAUUAUUGAUGCUGUAAAAAAAUUUACAGCAUCAUAGAGGAACCCUGCUUUUCUAUAUUUUUUUCAAUGUCGAACCUGCCGAGCCCACCAACAUGUUCUCAUUUUUUUUUUUUUUUGGCAAACCCUUACAUACAUUUAAUGUAUCUUACACCAAACAAUGAAUGGACGCCACACCACUCACUGUGUGAGUGGUUAUAAUAUAUAUUAAGGCCAUGUUUGCUUGGGGGUUGAGAAGUGAGGAGAGGAAAAGAAUUUAAUUUUUUUUAUAUUUUCCAUUGUUUUGUUGGACUAAAUUUAAUGGAAUUGAAUUUUCAUUGAAAUUUAAUUUCCAUCAAUUUGAAGAAUUUGUAUUCCUUAUCAAUGACUAAGGAUAUCAAAUUUCUUAUCUAUUUAAACACAAAAAAUCUAAUAUUAUCCUCUAAACAAAAUCAAUUUUAAAUAAAUGAAAGUAUAAAUAAUUUAUAUUUAUUUUAUUAAAUUAAUAGGAUAAAUUUAUUUGAUAAAAGAAAAAACAGUAAAGUGACUCACCGGAAAGUCACCGAAGACACGCUGGAGUUUCGCCGAAGACGCGUUUUUCCAUCAAAACCGGUACCAAUAGAAUUCUCAUGAGCCGAUCUACAACUUUAUGGGGUUAGAAAUGCUAAUAUACAUUGUUAUUUACCUCAAGUCUUGUUUAAAUACUUGAGAAAAUUUUAACUCAACUAUAUAGUGUAUUUUCUUCAAAAUUAACAUUUCCAAUGAGUAAAUCGUCCAUUUUUUUUAUCAUUAUUAUGUAUUUAACACGAUGAAAAAUGGUAGUCAACUAUGGUCAACGGCGCCGGUCAAUGACGAUCAACAGAGGUCAAUGCGGCAGCUGUUCAUGCCCAAAUGCUGUAAUUUUUUAAAAUAAAUUUUUUUAUUUAAUUAAGUAAUUUUUAGAUUAAAUUAAUUCAUAGUUUAAUUAUGUUUUAAUUUAUUAACAAUAUUAACAUUAAAGAUAGUGGGUAUAUUUGUCCAAAUAAGAAAUAUGUAAUUUCUUUUUCUUUCAAAUUUUAUGUGAAACCAAAUAAUAACAAUUAAUUUUUGCACUCUUUUCCUCUUAUCUCAUCUCUAUUCCUCACAUUUUUUCUCCUUUCGUCUCCUCCCCUUUUUUAAAACAACACCACAUAAAUGUAUGUUAGAGGAAUCUUUUUUAUUUUAUUCAGCCUUUGAUUUCCUUUCAUCGGUGGGGUAGGUACUUUUAAAAAGAAAAUUAUACUUUAAAAAUAUUUUCAACAUUUAUUUUUAAUUAAAUAUUAUAUUAUCAAAUUACUCUUUAUGAAAUUUACCGUUAUAGACAAUCAAAAUUACUAGAUAAAAUUUUAUAAUUGUGUCAAAAAAAAUCGUUUUUUAAUUUUUUUUCAUUUUAAUUUUCUCCUCGACUUCACUGGUAAAUAUUUACUCUAAAAAAGGGUGGCUGUUAAAACAAAAAUAAAUAAAUAAUUGGGCAUUGGUUUGGAUAAGAUGGACAACAUUUAUUGGGACUCUAUAUCAUUGGGCGGUAGAACUUGGAGGUUGGACCGUUGCACUUUUAAUAAAUUAAUCUGUAAGCAGUUUUUUUUUUUUUAUUGGCUGAUAUAUAACAAUCAGAGCUCUACUAAUAUAAUCAGACGUCAAUCGGGUACUCUUCUCAAUAAUCAUAUUGUAGCACAGCUCGAAUAUCGACUCAUCGUUUAAAGCUGAAGGGAGAUCUACCAUCACUAUUAAUACCGGAGGGGAAUCAAUUCUACCCCAGUGUGGGGAGAAAAAAACAACGUCCAAGUUCUCAAUAAUUUUAGUGGGAACAAAAGUUCAGUUCAUGACCAUGAAAUUAAUCGGAGUUGUUCCGAUGGUUACCGCAAGAGUGUUGACGUUUGAAGAAAGAGAGCUUGGGCAAAAUAAAUUAAUUUUAGGGUAACUUUGGGAUUUUGAUGAGCGUGUAUAGUAAAAAAUUAUAUUUUAAAUUUGACAGUGUAUUGAGUAAAUGAGUGUCUAAAAUAAUAUUUAGAGUAUAAAUAAUCUCACCUAAAAAAAUUAUUUACUUUAAUAAAGACACAAUAAUUUACGUGAUUCGACUUAAAAUCUACAUUUACGAGCAAAAGCUAAAAAUAACUUCAUUAAUAAAUAAAAAUUUACCAAAUUAAGAAAAAAUACCCUCAAAACUCAAAAUCCCAAUAUACCCAAUUAAACCAUUAGUAGAACACUCAAAUAAAAACACUAUUCAAUUUCUCAAAUUACUUCCCUUAUAAUUACUUUCAACUUUCACACUUUAGGAUGAUCUUUAAAUGACAAACUGCCCCUCUGUCUAUGCCUCUAUGGGAGUGCGUGGCUCAACUAUCUCUCAAUUUUGGUAACUUGUCUAGUCCACCGAAUUCGGAACCCAAUCUUGUGCCGCCAUUUCUUAACAAGCUCUCCAAAUGCAUUAAAGUGUCAAGUAUUUCAAUAACCAACUCUCUACAUUUGUUGGCAAUUUUCAAUGUAUUUAAUUCACUUUUUUUGACUUUUCAACACACAGGAUGUGGAGAAAAAUAAUUAUGUUUUCGUUCUAUUUUUUUCAAUAGUUAGUAUGAUAAUCAGCCAAAUAUAUACAACAUACCAUUCUAUAACUCUGAUACUUUGUAAUAUAUACCAAUCAAGCCCCAAGUCUAAGACUGUCUCAUAAAACUAUUAAAAAAUUUGAACCUAAUACUUCAACGCAUCACUAAAAUGUUUUUUAAAUUAGAUUUUAUUACUUUUUAACGAGUCAUAUCAAUCAAUAAAUUUUAAAAGACUUUUUAAGUGAGUUUUUUUUUUUUUAUUGAAGAGAGAGAAAAGUGCUAUCUCAUUUGAAGGGUUUUUUAAAAUCUUAAAUUUAUUCUACUGUUUCUCAUAAUUUCAUGAAGAGAAAGAAGUAUCAUAUUUGCUAUUGUUUUUGUAGAGAAAUUUUUUGAUUAAAAUAAUAUAUUUAUACUUUUAUUUAAAGAAUCUUUUAAUUUUUUUCCACUCUUUCAUUUACAAUAUAUAGUAAAUAAAUAUUUAAAAAAAUUAAAUUUAGAAGAAUAUUUUAGUGAUCUUCUUAGAUCUACUUAGUGUCUGUUUGGUAUAAUUUAUGUAAUGCUCAUAAGUAUUUAUUUAGUCUCAUAAAUUCUUAUCAUAAUUUUUAUUACUAUUUAUUUUUUUUAGAGAUUUUAUAGUUUAAAUAAGUUAUUUUAUUUCUACUAGUAAAAUCUCAAAUUAGGAGUAGAGAUUGAAAUUUUUUUAAAUAUUAAAAUAUUCUCUACUAAUUUGACUUUUUUUCAUAACAUAACUUUAAAAACUUACCUAUUAAAAUAAUUUCAUAAAUUUUUAAUAAAAAUUCUUAUUAACAAUCAACAACAAAAAUUUUUUAAGUAAAAAUUUUGUUAUCAAAAACUUUAUUUAAAUAAAUUUUAUUUAAAAAAUUAUAUUAAACGGAGCCUUACCCUCGCGAAUCGCGAUACCAUAACUAUUUUGAAGAAAUCGAAGAAUGGAAAGAAUUAAAAAGGCAAAACCGCGUUGUAAAGGAGGACGUGGAUCAACGUACCGAGGCCACUAAUGACAAAUAGCUACACCUUUUGAAGUAGACUCCCAACGUCUACCUAACCUAAACGGGUACAGAGACCUUUUGUUUUUUUUUUACAAUAGGUACAGUUACGUAUGACUGAAGAAAUAAAAAUAAUAAUAAAAAGCAUAGGGUAGAAGAAAACAAAGCUACCCAUUGGCUUCGUGUUGCAACUCUGCAACAGAAUGUCAAAUCGACAAUGAAAUUUCUUUGUCCAUUUUUCACGUGCACAACCAUAAAAAAGAAAAAAAAAUAUCAAAAUUAUAUGCAUAUGCUGGUGGGUCCCUUUUCAAAUUUGACAAGAGGAUUUUAAUUUCUUGUGAAAUUUGUGUUACUUCAAAUCAUUUUAUAGAAAUUAGGGAUGGCAAUGGGGAGGGGAGGGGAGAGGACCAAUCUCCCCGUAUCCAUCUCUGAUAUUUUGCGUAUCUCUCCGUCUCCUCCCCAUCCCCAUCAUAAUUACUUGAGAGAAUCUCAUUCUCCUCCCCGAAUAAUAACAUGGGGAUUCCCGAGGGUCCCCGAUCUCCGAAUAACUAAUACAUAUUUUUUAUUUUUUAUUUUUAGUUAAUUCUAUUAAAAUAAAAAAUUCAAACAAAAGUAAAGUUCGAAAUAUAUUUUACAUUAACAUUGAUUCAUUAUAAAAGUCACAUGCAAAAUACAAAUUAUCAAAAUAAUUAUCUUUAUCAAUCUUCAUAAUCCUACAAUAAAAAGAAAAAGAAUUUACUUUUAUAUCAACAAUAAAAUAAAUGAAAUAAAUGUAGAUACUUAAUUAAUAUUUUUAAUAAAACAAAAUUAAAAUUAAAACAAAAUUUUUGGGCUAAUAGAAUCUAAAACUUUAAUUAGUUAAUUAGGCCUAAAAGUUGAAUAAUAUAAAUAUUUUAAUAUUUGUUACUUUUACCAAUAUUUAUAAUUUUAUAAUAUAAUUCAAAUUUUAUUAUUUAUUUACUAGUAAUUUUAAAAAAUAAAAUAAAAUUAAAAAUUAAAAGAGGGAAAUGGGGAGGGGAUGGGGAUUCCACUUCAUCCCCACCCGUUCCCCGAAUAAGAAACUUGGUAAAAAAAAUUCCCCAUCCCUUCCCCGUAUAAGAAAUUGGGUAUAGAAUUAUCCACGUACCCUCCCCAAAUGGAAAAAAUCCCCGAGAGUACCCGCCUCCGUGGGGAUUUUUACCAUCCCUAAAAUUCCAUUGGCUUCGUGUUGCAACUCUGCAAUAGAAUGUCAAAUCGAGAUUGAAAUUUCUUUGUCCAUUUUUCACAUGCACAACCAUAAAAAAGAAAAAAAAAAUAUCACAAUUGUAUGUAUAUGCAGGUGGGUCCCUUUUCAAAUUUGACAAGAGGAUUUUAAUUUCUUGUGGAAUGUGUUACUUCAAAUCAUUUUAUAGAAAUUAGGGAUGGCAAUGGGGAGGGGAGGGGAGGGGACCAAUCUCCCCGUACUCAUCCCCGAUAUUUUACGUAUGUCCCCGUCCCCUCCCCAUCCCCGUCAUAAUUACUUGAGAGAAUCUUCAUCCCCUCUCCAAAUAAUAACAGGGGAUCCCCGAGGGUCCCCGAUCUCCGAAUAAUUAAUAUAUAUAUAUAUAUUAUUUUUUAUUUUGAGUUAAUUAUAUUAAAAUAAAAAAUUCAAACAAAAGUAAAGUUCGAAAUAUAUUUUACAUUAACAUUGAUCCAUUAUAAAAGUCACAUGCAAAAUACAAAUUAUCAAAAUAAUUAUCUUUGUCAAUCAUCAUAAUCCUACAAUAAAAAGAAAAAGAAUUUACUUUUUUAUCGACAAUAAAAUAAAUGAAAUAAAUGUAGAUACUUAAUUAAUAUUUUUAAUAAAACAAAAUUAAAAUUAAAACAAAAUUUUUAGACUAAUAGAAUCUACCCGACCUUUUUAAUGUCCUAAAUAAAAAUUUAAGACUUUAAUUAGUUAAUUAGGCCUAGAAGUUUAAUAAUAUAAAUAUUUUAAUAUUUGUUACUUUACCAAUAUUUAUAAUUUUAUAAUAUAAUUCAAAUUUUAUUAUUUAUUUACUAGUAAUUUUAAAAAAAUAAAAAUUAAAUUAAAUUUUAAAAUAAAAAUUAAAAUGGGGAAAUGAGGAGGGGAUGGGGAUUCCACCUCAUCCCCGCCCCUUCCCCGAAUAAGAAAUUGGGUAUAGAAUUAUCCCCGUACCCACCCCGAAUGGGAAAAAUCCCCGAGAGUACCCAUCCCCUAAUGGGAAAUUGGGUAUAGAAUUUAUUCUACUUUUUCUCAUAAUUUCAUGAAGAGAAAGAAGUAUCAUAUUUGCUAUUGUUUUUGUAGAGAAAUUUUUUUGAUUAAAAUAAUAUAUUUAUACUUUUAUUUAAAGAAUCUUUUAAUUUUUUUUCCACUCUUUCAUUUACAAUAUAUAAAAGUAAAUAAAUAUUUAAAGAAUUAAAUUUAGAAGAAUAUUUUAGUGAUCCUCUUAGAUUUACUUAGUGUCUGUUUGGUAUAAUUUAUGUAAUGCUCAUAAGUAUUUAUUUAGUCUCAUAAAUUCUUAUCAUAAUUUUUGUUACUGUUUAUUUUUUUUAGAGAUUUUACAGUUUAAAUAAGUUAUUUUAUUUCUACUAGUAAAAUCUCAAAUUAGGCGUAGAGAUUGAAUUUUUUUUUUAAAUAUUAAAAUAUCUAAAAUAUUCUCUACUUAUUUGAUAUUCUUUUCAUAACAUAACUUUAAAAACUUACCUAUUAAAAUAAUUUCAUAAAUUUUUAAUAAAUUUUUUUAUUAACAAUCAACAACAAAAAUUUUUUUAAAUAAAAAUUUUAUUUAUAAAAAUUUUGUUAUCGAAAACUUUAUUUAAAUAAAUUUUAUUUAAAAAAUUAUAUUAAACGGAGCCUUACCUCGCGAAUCGCGAUACCACAAUUAUUUUGAAGAAAUCGAAGAAUGGAAAGAAUUGAAAAGGCAAAACCGUGUUGUAAAAGAGGACGUGGAUCAACGUACCGAGGCCACUAAUGACAAAUAGCUACACCUUUUGAAGUAGACUCCCAGCGUCUACCUAACCUAAACGGGUACAGAGACCUUUUGUUUUUUUUUUUUUACAAUAGGUACAGUUACGUAUGACUGAAGAAAUAAAAAAAAAAAAAAUGAAAAGCAUAGGGUAGAAGAAAACAAAGCUACCCAUUGGCUUCGUGUUGCAACUCUGCAACAGAAUGUCAAAUCGACAAUGAAAUUUCUUUGUCCAUUUUUCACAUGCACAGCCAUAAAAAAGAAAAAAAUAUAUCACAAUUGUAUGUAUAUGUUGGUGGGUCCCUUUUCAAUUUUGACAAGAGGAUUUUAAUUUUUUGUGAAAUUUGUAUUACUUCAAAUCAUUUUAUAGAAAUUAGGGAUGGCAAUGGGGAGGGGAGGGGAGGGGAGGGGACCAAUCUCUCCGUAUCUAUCCCUGAUUUUUUUCGUAUGUCACCGUCCCCUCCCCAUCCUCAUCAUAAUUACUUGAGAGAAUCUCCUUUCUCUUCCCGAAUAAUAACAUAGGGAUUCCCGAGGGUCCCCGAUCCCCGAUCCCCGAAUAACUAAUACAUAUUUUUUAUUUUUUAUUUUUAGUUAAUUCUAUUAAAAUAAAAAAUUCAAACAAAAGUAAAGUUCGAAAUAUAUUUUACAUUAACAUUGAUCCAUUAUAAAAGUCACAUGCAAAAUACAAAUUAUCAAAAUAAUUAUUUUUGUCAAUCUUCAUAAUCCUACAAUAAAAAGAAAAAGAAUUUACUUUUAUAUCGACAAUAAAAUAAAUGAAAUAAAUGUAGAUACUUAAUUAAUAUUUUUAAUAAAAUAAAAUUAAUAUUAAAACAAAAUUUUUGGGCUAAUAGAAUCUAUCCGACCUUUUUAAUGUCUUAAAUAAAACUUUAGGACUUUAAUUAGUUAAUUAGGCCUAGAAGUUUAAUAAUAUAAAUAUUUUAAUAUUUGUUACUUUUACCAAUAGUUAUAAUUUUAUAAUAUAAUUCAAAUUUUAUUAUUUAUUUACUAGUAAUUUUAAAAAAUAAAAAUAAAAUUAAAAAUUAAAAUGGGGAAAUGAGGAGGGGAUGGGGAUUCCACCUCAUCCCCGCUCCUUCCCCGAAUAAGAAAUUGGGUAAAAAAAUUUUCACAUCCCUUCCCCGAAUAAGAAAUUGGGUAUAGAAUUAUCCUCGUACUCUCCCCGAAUGGAAAAAAUUCCCGAGAGUACCCGUCACCGAAUAAGAAAUUGAGUAUAGAAUUUAUUCUACUUUUUCUCAUAAUUUCAUGAAGAGAAAGAAGUAUCAUAUUUGCUAUUAUUUUUGUCGAGAAAUUUUUUUUGAUUAAAAUAAUAUAUUUAUACUUUUAUUUAAAGAAUCUUUUAAUUUUUUUCCACUCUUUCAUUUACAAUAUAUAAAAGUAAAUAAAUAUUUAAAGAAUUAAAUUUAGAAGAAUAUUUUAGUGAUCCUCUUAGAUUUACUUAGUGUCUGUUUGGUAUAAUUUAUGUAAUUUUCAUAAGUAUUUAUUUAAUUUCAUAAAUUCUUAUCAUAAUUUUUGUUACUGUUUAUUUUUUUUAGAGAUUUUACAGUUUAAAUAAGUUAUUUUAUUUCUACUAGUAAAAUCUCAAAUUAGGAGUAGAGAUUGAAUUUUUUUUAAAUAUUAAAAUAUCUAAAAUAUUCCGUACUUAUUUGACAUUCUUUUCAUAACAUAACUUUAAAAAUUUACCGAUUAAAAUAAUUUUAUAAAUUUUUAAUAAAUUUUUUUAUUAACAAUCAACAACUAAAAUUUUUUAAGUAAAAAUUUUAUUUAUAAAAAUUUUGUUAUCGAAAACUUUAUUUAAAUAAAUUUUAUUUAAAAAAUUAUAUUAAACGGAGUCUUACCUCGCGAAUCGUGAUACCACAACUAUUUUGAAGAAAUCGAAGAAUGGAAAGAAUUGAAAAGGCAAAACCGCAUUGUAAAAGAGGACGUGGAUCAACGUACCGAGGCCACUAAUGACAAAUAACUACACAUUUUGAAGUAGACUCUCAGUAUCUACCUAACCUAAACAGGUACAAAAAUCUUUUAUUUUUUUGAUCUCACUACGUUACGUUUAACAUAACAUACAUUCACACACAACAACAAUUUUCAUAAUAAGAUCCAUAACUAUUACUAUAUGUGACAAUUAUUACUAUGUGUGACGUAGCCUUAUUUUUUUUAACAAUAGGUGCAGAUACGUACGAAUGCAUUAAUUAAUGAAAAGCAGAGGGUAGAAGAAAACAAAGCUACGUCGGCAGACACGUUGCAGUAGGGAUUCUGGAAUGCAUUAAUUAAGGGGCCUUAAGUAUUCAAUAGUCAAAGAAAUGAGAAGGCAGAGCGUAGAAGAAAACAAAGCCACGUCGCCAGACACGUUGCUGAAGGGAUUAUGGAAUGCAUUAAUUAAGGGGUCUUAAAUAUUAAGUAGUGACAUCCUUUUUGUGUUUUUCCAUAAGAAGAUGCUGGAAUGCAUUAAUUAAGAGGCCCACUGUGAUUAAUUCAUAACUACUAGUAAUUUGUUUGUAUUCGAGUUGCUCCUUUGUAUAACUAGACGUGAAAAUGAGUGAUUGGUGGGGCGGUGGAGUCGAGGGUGCUAAGAGCAACAAAAACAAAUUCUGAAGCAAUUGUUCUGACUCUUGAGUGCUUAUAUUUAUUUCAUUAAUCUCGGAAGAUAUGGCGUCUCAUAAGGUGCCUGGUAAUCGCAAAUUGAUAGGUUCUAAAUCAGAAUACUAUUUUAUGCUUUAUGCAGGUACUGAAGAAGUGAAGAGCUACGACCGGAUUGAUUUUGGUAUGUUUGGUCGGAGUUGGGCUCCCAUUGUUUCUUGGGCCGUGAUAGUUGUUCCCCACGAGCCGGAGAGUAAUUGGAGAAAAAAUUUACCUCCUCCAAGUGUCAAUAAUAUGGACCCCGCUAGCUCGCUUUGUGUUAUUACAUCUGGUUCUUCUAAUGGUUAUAAGCCUAUAGGUGAUGAUAAAAAGGAUCGUCCUUUUCAUGGCGUUAGAACUACAGUUCCAUUGAACAAAUUGAAAUAUGAUCGUGAAGUGUUGCGCGGAGGUUCUCUUGUUUUGGAGAUUAAUCUUUUAGAGGUUUUUCACGGAGGAGAUGUUGUGGAUUCUGAUCAUACUUUUGAUGGUCAAGUGUUUUGGAACUUGUACUCGAAUUGAAUAUUGUACGGUGAGAUAAGUUGAUGUGUGUAUUAAUGGUAUUAUCUAAUAUAAACAUAGGAUUGGACAUAUAGUUGUGUCAAUGUAUUGUGUAAUUUAACUACCUCUAGAUAAUAUUAUCGUUUGUGUAAUGAUUGUAAUUGAUGUUUUGUUGGAGGAUCCUUUAGUAUGCUUAUAAAAAGGAUUCAAGUGUGUUGUAA
RNAcentral lists this long non-coding RNA (32891 nucleotides) under Citrus maxima (pomelo). RNAcentral's name for it is "long non-coding RNA (CMAX_LNC002757)". The record is from RNAcentral. Lineage: Eukaryota; Viridiplantae; Streptophyta; Magnoliopsida; Sapindales; Rutaceae.